GAUGAACGCUGGCGGCGUGCCUAAUACAUGCAAGUCGAGCGAACAGACGAGGAGCUUGCUCCUCUGACGUUAGCGGCGGACGGGUGAGUAACACGUGGAUAACCUACCUAUAAGACUGGGAUAACUUCGGGAAACCGGAGCUAAUACCGGAUAAUAUAUUGAACCGCAUGGUUCAAUAGUGAAAGACGGCUUUGCUGUCACUUAUAGAUGGAUCCGCGCCGCAUUAGCUAGUUGGUAAGGUAACGGCUUACCAAGGCGACGAUGCGUAGCCGACCUGAGAGGGUGAUCGGCCACACUGGAACUGAGACACGGUCCAGACUCCUACGGGAGGCAGCAGUAGGGAAUCUUCCGCAAUGGGCGAAAGCCUGACGGAGCAACGCCGCGUGGGUGAUGAAGGUCUUCGGAUCGUAAAACUCUGUUAUUAGGGAAGAACAAAUGUGUAAGUAACUAUGCACGUCUUGACGGUACCUAAUCAGAAAGCCACGGCUAACUACGUG
RNAcentral lists this ribosomal RNA (497 nucleotides) under uncultured bacterium. RNAcentral describes it as "partial 16S ribosomal RNA". It matches the Rfam family "Bacterial small subunit ribosomal RNA", at positions 28 to 507 of the family's 1533-position model. The record is from RNAcentral.